Molecule: ribosomal RNA, 465 nt
Filed under: uncultured bacterium
Lineage: Bacteria
Description: partial 16S ribosomal RNA
Rfam family: Bacterial small subunit ribosomal RNA
Source: RNAcentral
GAUGAACGCUGGCGGCGUGCUUAACACAUGCAAGUCGAACGGAAAGGCUCCUGCUUGCAGGGGUACUCGAGUGGCGAACGGGUGAGUAACACGUGGGUGAUCUGCCCUGCACUUCGGGAUAAGCCUGGGAAACUGGGUCUAAUACCGGAUAGGACGAUGGUUUGGAUGCCAUUGUGGAAAGUUUUUCGGUGUGGGAUGAGCUCGCGGCCUAUCAGCUUGUUGGUGGGGUAAUGGCCUACCAAGGCGUCGACGGGUAGCCGGCCUGAGAGGGUGUACGGCCACAUUGGGACUGAGAUACGGCCCAGACUCCUACGGGAGGCAGCAGUGGGGAAUAUUGCACUAUGGGCGCGAGCCUGAUGCAGCGAAGCCGCGUGGGGGAUGACGGCCUUCGGGUUGUAAACUCCUUUCGCUAGGGACGAAGCGAAAGUGACGGUACCUGGAGAAGAAGCACCGGCUAACUACGUG